Molecule: small nuclear RNA, 107 nt
Organism: Fukomys damarensis (Damara mole-rat)
Lineage: Eukaryota; Metazoa; Chordata; Mammalia; Rodentia; Bathyergidae
Source: Ensembl
GUGCUCACUUUGGUAGCACAUAUACUAAAAUUGGAGUGAUACAGAGAAGAGUAGCAUGGCUCUUGUGCAAGGGUGAUGUGCAAAUUUGUAAAGUGUUCCAUAUUUUG